RNAcentral lists this unclassified non-coding RNA (294 nucleotides) under fungal sp. RNAcentral describes it as "partial internal transcribed spacer region". The stretch from base 1 to 45 matches the Rfam family "Eukaryotic small subunit ribosomal RNA", at positions 1787 to 1831 of the family's 1831-position model. The record is from RNAcentral. Lineage: Eukaryota; Fungi.
AGUCGUAACAAGGUCUCCGUAGGUGAACCUGCGGAGGGAUCAUUUACCAUAAAUUCCAUUGCGCCCCCAAAAGGCCGAGGCAACUCGGCCUUUUAGGGGACUCAAACACUGUGAUACUGCCUUAAUUUUCUUGAGAGGACGUGCCUUGUUCCUCCCUUGAAUGCAUUCUUGAGUGCGGCAGCAAUUCUCGGCUACAAACCAUUUAUUUUUUUAAACGCGUCCGGUUGAUCCCGCUUACCCGGGGUUGACUAGAUAUGAAUUCUAAACACCGUCUCCGAUGGACGACUCGGCUCU